AGCACCAUGGCCGAGCGGUCUAAGGCGGAGUGGUUGUCGGCAGUACGUAAAACUCAUCCCUGCUGUGGAUGAGUUCCCUCUGGGGAAACCCGCGCGAGUUCGAAUCUUGCUGGUGCUA
This 118-nucleotide transfer RNA is filed under the name Lachnellula suecica. Its description in RNAcentral is "tRNA-Asp". It matches the Rfam family "tRNA". Rfam says of the family: Transfer RNA (tRNA) molecules are approximately 80 nucleotides in length. The record is from RNAcentral. Lineage: Eukaryota; Fungi; Ascomycota; Leotiomycetes; Helotiales; Lachnaceae.